UUGGAGGGCAAGUCUGGUGCCAGCAGCCGCGGUAAUUCCAGCUCCAAUAGCGUAUAUUAAAGUUGUUGCAGUUAAAAGGCUCGUAGUUGAAUUUCGGGAUUGACGUGACGGUCAUGCCUUAAGGGGUAUGAACUGUUACUGUUGAUUUCUCACCUUCUGGAGAAACUUGAUGUUCCUGUCUUGCGAAUCCAAGACCCUUACCUUGAAAAAAUUAGAGUGUUUAAAGCAGGC
Molecule: ribosomal RNA, 231 nt
Filed under: uncultured Glomeromycotina
Lineage: Eukaryota; Fungi; Glomeromycota
Description: partial 18S rRNA
Rfam family: Eukaryotic small subunit ribosomal RNA
Source: RNAcentral